AGAGAGGCUAGGAUGGGACGGCGGUCCCAUGGGGCACGUGAUCCGGGAAGGCCGGCCCCCAUGUUUCUGAUGGGCAACGAAGUGGACGUCUCCUUAGAAAGAAUAGUGUACUUGCAAGCGUAUCUCCUCGAGAUUCGAAGACGGGCGCCUGCUUCCCAAAGAUUAUCGCCGCCUCCGGUGGAAGCCAGCCGGCGGCAGACGGAGGUACUCGCCCGUGGUGCGCGGCCGCGUCACGAGCCGCACGGCUGCUCGCCGUGAUGCGGCAGAUACCGUCAGCCAGAGAAUGGCGCGCGGCCGCAUCGCGAGCCGCACGGCUGCUCGCCGUGAUGCGGCAGAUACCGUCAGCCAGAGAAGGCUUGGGAGACGAGGGAUUGCGGUCGCCGAUAUCGAUCUUCCUCGAAUCUCUUUAUAUUCGCCUUCCAGAUCGUUGGUACCCGUCCGUCACUAAAAGUUUCAAAAACGUACGGCAAUGAGGUCAAACUUUGAUCAAAGAUCAAUCAGAGCUUUCCUUUUGAUGUCUUAUUAGUGUGUGAAACCAAUUAUUCAACUAAUAAUCGGGUAAGAAUUAUCAAUUUUUCACCGAUUGCACGAAAUUGUGAGCAUAUACAAUGAAAAUUUCAGGGCAAUAUGAAACUUUUCUGCUGAUUUUUUUUAGCAGAUGAGCUCAUGGGGGGGGCAAGUGGAGG
RNAcentral lists this long non-coding RNA (686 nucleotides) under Spirodela polyrhiza (greater duckweed). RNAcentral describes it as "long non-coding RNA (SPOL_LNC001432)". Lineage: Eukaryota; Viridiplantae; Streptophyta; Magnoliopsida; Alismatales; Araceae. The record is from RNAcentral.